UGAAAAAGAAAGAGAAAGCGUGAGAACCUCAGUAGAUCAAGCAAAAGUUACAGACAAAGAGAGAAACAUUCAGAGCUUCAGACGCCUGCAGAGAAGAUGGAGAUGAAGACGAGCUGUGUGUGUUUAGUCCUGGGGUUGGUCCUGCUGAUGACCGUCUCCUCAGAUGCUAACCCGAUUUCCCUUAACCAUCCUGAUCUGUGCUGCUUCAGAUUCACCUAUUUUAAAAUUCCAGAAGAAGAAAUCCUAAACAUUGAAAAAUCCCAUUCCAACUGCCCAAAGAACGGCUAUGUCUUUACAACGCCACAAGGCAGGAUCUGCAGGGAAACCGUCUAGCAUCCUGAAGGGAAACAAGAUGUCAGUGGUGCAACUUCCAGAAGACCCGGACACACCAUGAAGACUACCUAAACGCAAAAGCUUUGCAUGAGCCUGCAUCAUAUGAUUUUUUGUCAGUCGUUUUAAUUAUCAAUGCAUUUUAAGGCUGGAGAUUAAACUGUAACAAUGCAUGGUGUAAAAAAUAAGUCAUUAAUAUUGUCUUAGUAAAUAGACAUUUUAGAUAUAGAUUUACUCAUUGCCUCGCUUCAGUUUAGUCACUGCUAAUUCCCUCCGGCAGAUCUUAAUUCCCUCUCGGGUUUCUGACAAUGCACACCUGGGGCGUUGUUGUGAGUUCACUUAUGAGCUACUAAAUGCCUUGUGAAUAACAGUUAAGACAUAAGAACAAAAGUCCCCUGUCAGACUGAUUAAAACAGGUAAAUAACUGGAUGCACAAGGUUGUGCGGAUAGCCAAUUAGCAUGGAACUGACUAAAUCCUCUUCCUUCUUGGCUCUGCAGCAGUGGAGUUUUGCCAGAAGAGCCAGUGACACAAUACCAGAGGGUGUUAAGCUAAAACAGAUUGUGCGAAUUACUGUGGAGAGGCCAGAUUGAUGUUAGACAUGUUCUCACUAUCAGCACCGAAGAGAACGUCCCGCACCUGUGAGAUGUUAUGAAGGUGAUAAUACUGCUGUGAAUAGAGACAGGCCAACGUAUGUCUGGAGGAGGAGGAAGAAGCAUGCGUUGAAAAAGACACCCUGCCUGCAGUGAAGCACAGCGGUGGCUCGGUGAUGCUCUAGGGCUGCUUUGGUUCCCUUUUCCUGACUUCUGCCUUUCGACUGCGGUCAUGAGGACUCAGGGGAGCUGCUUCACCUGCUAGCUCCUGGGCCAGAACGGUGUCAGCUUCCUACCCGUUCUGGGGUAAUACCCAAACUUUGGGUAAUUUCCACCGCAAGGACUGGUCAAAGGCUGGACUACCUCGAAGUACUGGGUGUUUAUUGCAGACAGCUUAAGCAUAACACACAAAUGAACCGAGUGGCUGUGUUAAAUGAAAGAAAAGGGGGUGGAGGUGUGAGAGGGAAGAGUUUGCGUGUUGCUCGAGGCUACAGCACACGGCGACUACAACAACAGGCACCACAAUAUCCAUAAUGCAAUGCGUCCCCAAAACAUUAACCUCUUACAUUGCCAACAUUUUGCGUCCUCUGGCACUGGACACCUGCAGUGUGUGGAGGGCAAGAUGGAUUCAAUACAGUGUCAGAAAUUCCUAGGAGAAAACGAGCCUUCUGUGAGGAAGCUGAAGCUUGGGUGUCACUGGAUCUUCCAACAGGACAGUGAUCCCUAGUAAAACAGACAGAAUUACUGUGGAUUGGCCAGACUGAUGCUGGUAACUCAAGCUCCUUUGCCUUCACCUUCCACUGAAUGGUGAUCUGUGAGGGGCUCAGACAGUACUGGAGCUCAUCAACAGCCCAUUAGAUAGAGAGAGCUUCUCUAUCCACAGCAGAAUUAUCACCUUCGUAACAUCUCAACGGUUCGGGAUGUUCUCUUCUUUGCCGAUAGUAAGACCCAAGAGCUCUGUUGCAUGCCUGAAGAGAGGUCUUGACCUGAGGAACCACAUUGCACCAGCCCUCCAAUCCCGUGAUUUAUUGAUCUUCCUCGAUCCACCAAUCAUCGCUCCAGUUCCCCUGAAUGCUGAUCUGUUACACCUGCGCUGUCUGUCAUGUGACUAUCCUAGUUUAGUAUAGAAGCCUGGGCUCUAGAGUGGUAUAGUUGCGAGGUACUGCUUCUCUUGUAGACCUACUGUACUGUUCGACUUUGUUUUUGGUUGCCCUUUCUUGUGCAUUGGACUCUUUUCCUGGAUUACUCGUCAUUGUCUUUUUUGUCUUUGCCCUUCUGGUUAUGCUUACACUGUUUUGCCUUUUUGCUAUUUUGGAUUUGACCUAUGCCUGUAUGAUGACCACGAUUCUUGCCAAUGCUGUUUCAAUUAAAGCCUCAUCUCUUGGUUUUUAC
This is a long non-coding RNA of Pygocentrus nattereri (red-bellied piranha), 2313 nucleotides long. RefSeq lists it as uncharacterized. The record is from RefSeq and is a predicted model, not a curated record. The transcript has 3 exons. NCBI's taxonomy places the organism in Eukaryota, Metazoa, Chordata, Actinopteri, Characiformes, Serrasalmidae.